RNAcentral lists this ribosomal RNA (782 nucleotides) under uncultured Staphylococcus sp. Its description in RNAcentral is "bacterial SSU rRNA". It matches the Rfam family "Bacterial small subunit ribosomal RNA", at positions 69 to 837 of the family's 1533-position model. Lineage: Bacteria; Bacillati; Bacillota; Bacilli; Caryophanales; Staphylococcaceae. The record is from RNAcentral.
GACGAGAAGCUUGCUUCUCUGAUGUUAGCGGCGGACGGGUGAGUAACACGUGGAUAACCUACCUAUAAGACUGGGAUAACUUCGGGAAACCGGAGCUAAUACCGGAUAAUAUUUUGAACCGCAUGGUUCAAAAGUGAAAGACGGUCUUGCUGUCACUUAUAGAUGGAUCCGCGCUGCAUUAGCUAGUUGGUAAGGUAACGGCUUACCAAGGUAACGAUGCAUAGCCGACCUGAGAGGGUGACCGGCCACACUGGAACUGAGACACGGUCCAGACUCCUACGGGAGGCAGCAGUAGGGAAUCUUCCGCAAUGGGCGAAAGCCUGACGGAGCAACGCCGCGUGAGUGAUGAAGGUCUUCGGAUCGUAAAACUCUGUUAUUAGGGAAGAACAUAUGUGUAAGUAACUGUGCACAUCUUGACGGUACCUAAUCAGAAAGCCACGGCUAACUACGUGCCAGCAGCCGCGGUAAUACGUAGGUGGCAAGCGUUAUCCGGAAUUAUUGGGCGUAAAGCGCGCGUAGGCGGUUUUUUAAGUCUGAUGUGAAAGCCCACGGCUCAACCGUGGAGGGUCAUUGGAAACUGGAAAACUUGAGUGCAGAAGAGGAAAGUGGAAUUCCAUGUGUAGCGGUGAAAUGCGCAGAGAUAUGGAGGAACACCAGUGGCGAAGGCGACUUUCUGGUCUGUAACUGACGCUGAUGUGCGAAAGCGUGGGGAUCAAACAGGAUUAGAUACCCUGGUAGUCCACGCCGUAAACGAUGAGUGCUAAGUGUUAGGGGGUUUCCGC